This 650-nucleotide ribosomal RNA is filed under the name Enterobacter sp. RNAcentral describes it as "bacterial SSU rRNA". It matches the Rfam family "Bacterial small subunit ribosomal RNA", at positions 806 to 1456 of the family's 1533-position model. Lineage: Bacteria; Pseudomonadati; Pseudomonadota; Gammaproteobacteria; Enterobacterales; Enterobacteriaceae. The record is from RNAcentral.
ACGAUGUCGACUUGGAGGUUGUGCCCUUGAGGCGUGGCUUCCGGAGCUAACGCGUUAAGUCGACCGCCUGGGGAGUACGGCCGCAAGGUUAAAACUCAAAUGAAUUGACGGGGGCCCGCACAAGCGGUGGAGCAUGUGGUUUAAUUCGAUGCAACGCGAAGAACCUUACCUACUCUUGACAUCCAGAGAACUUUCCAGAGAUGGAUUGGUGCCUUCGGGAACUCUGAGACAGGUGCUGCAUGGCUGUCGUCAGCUCGUGUUGUGAAAUGUUGGGUUAAGUCCCGCAACGAGCGCAACCCUUAUCCUUUGUUGCCAGCGGUUCGGCCGGGAACUCAAAGGAGACUGCCAGUGAUAAACUGGAGGAAGGUGGGGAUGACGUCAAGUCAUCAUGGCCCUUACGAGUAGGGCUACACACGUGCUACAAUGGCGCAUACAAAGAGAAGCGACCUCGCGAGAGCAAGCGGACCUCAUAAAGUGCGUCGUAGUCCGGAUUGGAGUCUGCAACUCGACUCCAUGAAGUCGGAAUCGCUAGUAAUCGUAGAUCAGAAUGCUACGGUGAAUACGUUCCCGGGCCUUGUACACACCGCCCGUCACACCAUGGGAGUGGGUUGCAAAAGAAGUAGGUAGCUUAACCUUCGGGAGGGCUCUUA